Molecule: ribosomal RNA, 625 nt
Filed under: Lyophyllum favrei
Lineage: Eukaryota; Fungi; Basidiomycota; Agaricomycetes; Agaricales; Lyophyllaceae
Description: eukaryotic LSU rRNA
Rfam family: 5.8S ribosomal RNA (bases 257-410)
Source: RNAcentral
UAUAGAAUUAACAACUGCUUGGGUUGUUGCUGGCUCUAAGGAGCAUUGUGCACGCCUGGCACGUUAUUCUUGACCACCUGUGCAUUUUUUGUAGACUGAAAUGCGUUAUUAUCGAGGACACACUCGGUUUUGGAGGUCUGCGAUGUGAAAGCUCGCUUUCCUUGGAUGCGUUUUAGCUCUAUGUAUUUUAAUAUUACACCCUUUAAUAAGUAACAGAAUGUGUAUUCAUUGGCCAUCUGUGCCUUUAAUCAAAUACAACUUUCAACAACGGAUCUCUUGGCUCUCGCAUCGAUGAAGAACGCAGCGAAAUGCGAUAAGUAAUGUGAAUUGCAGAAUUCAGUGAAUCAUCGAAUCUUUGAACGCACCUUGCGCUCCUUGGUAUUCCGAGGAGCAUGCCUGUUUGAGUGUCAUUAAAUUAAAUCAAAUCAUUAUCUUUUAGGUAAAAGAUUUGGAUUGUGGGGGUUUUGCUGGCUUUAAUAGAAGUCAGCUCCUCUUAAAAGCAUGAGUGAAACGCUUUGUAGACCAACUCUGGUGUGAUAAUUAUCUACGCCAUGGUUAACUUACUUGCAUAUGUUUUGCUUUCUAACCAAGUUGUCUGCUUCAAAAGGACACUAAAUAGAUAAAU